UGUUUGAAGUCCAUAUUGAAGCUUCGACUAAAUUCGGAUCGUGCACUGCAGAGCUCAUUCAAGGGUGACACUCUUAACAUGAUUAACUCCAUACCAGGCUCAAACCUGAGACCUCUGGUUAAGGGUGAAACAAUCCUACCACUGCAGCACUGCAGAACUCAGAACUUUUUGAAUCGCGCACUGCAGAACUCAUUUGAGGGUGAUGCUCCUAACAACAUUUUCUCCAUAUAUACCCAAGGCUUGAGCCCGAAACCUCUCGUUAAGGAUGAAACAAUCUCAUCACUAUACCACAACAAAUUAUGUUUGUAGCAACCUUAUAGCACUUGUGGAAUAUGAGAGCAUUGGAGGCAAAUGGCACCAAAAUCAUGUAUAUAUGAUGUGAUGGCUCUUUGAUUAGCCAAGAUGUGUGUGAGCAACAUUAUUAGCUAGCUAGCUACAAGAGAAAAAUAUCAUUU
Molecule: long non-coding RNA, 455 nt
Filed under: Solanum tuberosum (potato)
Lineage: Eukaryota; Viridiplantae; Streptophyta; Magnoliopsida; Solanales; Solanaceae
Description: long non-coding RNA (STUB_LNC002695)
Source: RNAcentral